This 459-nucleotide ribosomal RNA is filed under the name Acrogonia citrina. RNAcentral's name for it is "partial large subunit ribosomal RNA". The record is from RNAcentral. Lineage: Eukaryota; Metazoa; Arthropoda; Insecta; Hemiptera; Cicadellidae.
UAGNUAAUUUUUAAAGGUAAUUUCUGCCCUAUGAUUAUUUAAAUGGCUGCAGUAUUCUGACUGUGCAAAGGUAGCGUAAUAAUUAGUCUUUUAAUUGAAGGCUUGUAUGAAUGGAUAAAUGAGAAAUUCUUUUUAUUAAUUUUAUUUUUGUAAUUUGAUUUUUAAGUAAAAAAGCUUAAUUUUUUUUUUGGGACGAUAAGACCCUAUAGAACUUUAAUAGUUUAGUAUAUUUUAUUUUUUUUUAGUUUAAUUAUUUUUUAUUAUUAAAAUUAUUUUUGUUGGGGCGACAAAUAAAUUUAACUUUAUUUUUUUUUUUCAUUUAUUUAUGUUAUUUUGAUCCUUAAUAAAGAUUAUAAGAUUAAGUUACCUUAGGGAUAACAGCGUAAUUUUAAUGGGGAGUUCUUAUUUAUAUUAAAGUUUGCGACCUCGAUGUUGAAUUAAGAUAAGAUUGAGGGGUAG